UACGUAGGGUGCAAGCGUUGUCCGGAAUUAUUGGGCGUAAAGAGCUCGUAGGCGGUUUGUCGCGUCUGCUGUGAAAACUCAGGGCUUAACCCUGAGCCUGCAGUGGGUACGGGCAGACUAGAGUGUUGCAGGGGAGACUGGAAUUCCUGGUGUAGCGGUGAAAUGCGCAGAUAUCAGGAGGAACACCGGUGGCGAAGGCGGGUCUCUGGGGCAACAACUGACGCUGAGGAGCGAAAGCGUGGGGAGCGAACAGG
RNAcentral lists this ribosomal RNA (254 nucleotides) under uncultured bacterium. RNAcentral's name for it is "partial 16S ribosomal RNA". It matches the Rfam family "Bacterial small subunit ribosomal RNA", at positions 524 to 776 of the family's 1533-position model. The record is from RNAcentral.